This 69-nucleotide transfer RNA is filed under the name Ictidomys tridecemlineatus (thirteen-lined ground squirrel). RNAcentral's name for it is "Spermophilus tridecemlineatus (thirteen-lined ground squirrel) tRNA". It matches the Rfam family "tRNA". Rfam says of the family: Transfer RNA (tRNA) molecules are approximately 80 nucleotides in length. Their secondary structure includes four short double-helical elements and three loops (D, anti-codon, and T loops). Lineage: Eukaryota; Metazoa; Chordata; Mammalia; Rodentia; Sciuridae. The record is from Rfam by way of RNAcentral.
GGGGUUGUGGCUUAGUGGUAGAGUACUUGCCUAGCACGUAUGAGGCACUGGGUUUGAUUCUCAGCACCA